RNAcentral lists this non-coding RNA (590 nucleotides) under Pongo abelii (Sumatran orangutan). The record is from RNAcentral. Lineage: Eukaryota; Metazoa; Chordata; Mammalia; Primates; Hominidae.
UUCCAGGGACGUGAAGCCGGAAAGCCAGGCGCCCUUCUUGACUGCGCCUAGGUGGAACUGGCCCUCCAGCAGCUUGAACGUAGCGUCUUUUCACACUGGUAGUUCCUGAGCCUCUUGUGAAAUGAAAGAUGUUCCUCAGUCCAAGCUGAGGACGGAGAAAAGCUGUAAAGCUGACACUGAAGCUAGAAUGACUUGUCAGCCACCUUUGAGCAAGAACUUGCCUGGAGUCCAAAUGUAUGGCUAUUGAAGGAUAGUAAGCAGACAGCACUAAAAGUCAUCCAUUUGUUAUGGAUUUAGUCUUAAGACCCUCAUUUGAGAGAUGCCUUCCCCAUACCUGAGGAAAGAAACAUCCUUAUCUCUGAAGGCACAGGGCCACAGAGAAGAGUCUGAACAAACAGGCUUUACCAAUUUCCCCCAGUUAUUACCAUUAGAUCAGACCUUUGUCCAGUCAUACCUUUCCACAAGUUGUCCACUCAUCAACCCUAAGCAUAAAAAUGCACAAGUUUCCCUGUUUGUUUGGGUCUUCAUUUCCAAAGGCUCCUAUGUCACGUUAAACUUUUAAAUAAAUUUGCCUGCUUUUCUCUUGUGAA